GACGAACGCUGGCGGCGUGCCUAAUACAUGCAAGUCGAGCGGAGUGAUGUUGAAAGCUUGCUUUCAACAUCACUUAGCGGCGGACGGGUGAGUAACACGUAGGCAACCUACCCUCUAGACUGGGAUAACUACCGGAAACGGUAGCUAAUACCGGAUAAUUCCUUGACCCUCCUGGGCUUAGGAUGAAAGGCGGAGCAAUCUGCUACUAGAGGAUGGGCCUGCGGCGCAUUAGCUAGUUGGUGGGGUAAUGGCCUACCAAGGCGACGAUGCGUAGCCGACCUGAGAGGGUGAACGGCCACACUGGGACUGAGACACGGCCCAGACUCCUACGGGAGGCAGCAGUAGGGAAUCUUCCGCAAUGGGCGAAAGCCUGACGGAGCAACGCCGCGUGAGUGAUGAAGGUUUUCGGAUCGUAAAGCUCUGUUGCCAGGGAAGAACGUCCGGUAGAGUAACUGCUACCGGAGUGACGGUACCUGAGAAGAAAGCCCCGGCUAACUACGUGCCAGCCGCCGCGGUAAAAC
RNAcentral lists this ribosomal RNA (521 nucleotides) under uncultured bacterium. Its description in RNAcentral is "bacterial SSU rRNA". It matches the Rfam family "Bacterial small subunit ribosomal RNA", at positions 28 to 526 of the family's 1533-position model. The record is from RNAcentral.